CCGUGAAACGUGAGAGCCAAUGAGUGCGAGACGUUGAGUGACAGCUGUCCAAUGGGGACCCUCAGUGCUAGCACCCUUUGCAGCUUAAGCGCUGGUACGGUGUGAGGAAUGUCAACUAUUCAACAUGGAGGCGGAGGUCGAUAAGCUGGAACUGAUGUUCCAGAAAGCUGACUCUGAUCUGGAUUACAUUCAAUGUAGGCUGGAAUAUGAAAUCAAGACUAAUUAUCCUGCUUCAACAGGCAAGAAAAAUCCAGUUACACUCUUAAAGGAAUUAUCAGCGAUAAAAUCUCGAUAUCAGACUUUGCAUGUGAGAUUUAAAUCAGUUGCUGUGGAGCAGAAAGAGACUAAGACUCGUAUUUGUGCUAUUUUGAAUAAUACUGUGACCAUGAUACAAGAACUACAAAAGCAAACAGACUUGGAGAGUACUGUAGGGUUGCACUUGGUUGAGCACAAGUUACAAUGAGCAAGGACCUGAGUUUGAAACCUUGGACCCCACCUCCAGGGGAGAAACUUCACUAGUGAUAAAGCAGAGCUGCAGAUGUCACCACUGUCCAAAGAAGAGGAAAUUGCAGCAGAACAAUUAAAAUCUCACAUGUCAGAUUCAUGAAGAAAUGGACUUGCAAAAGGGAAUCUUAAUGGAAAAGAUCAGUUCCAGAGAGAUUUAGGAAGAUGCUUUGUUAGUACUUGAUGACCAGAGGUUGAGGGAUGGUAAAAGAGAAGAUUUGACUUUGGUGGUUGAAUGGUGAUGCUUUUCCUAACAUAGGAGAAUAUAAGGACAGAUAUAAAUAGUAUUAGGUCAAAAUGAUGGGAUGGGAGUAAAGGGAUUUUAAAAAAACAUGCACAGGGUUGACAAAGUAGCUUACCUGGAUAGUGUGCCUGCUUUCCCCAGUCACCAUCACAUUGGAGGAAGCUUUCAUGCUAAGAUAUGUUAUCCCCUUUUUCUGUCUGUAAAGGUCACCCAGAGGGGUGAAAUCCUGGUGAUGACAAAAA
RNA transcript from Erinaceus europaeus (western European hedgehog), 990 nucleotides. It is a transcript of the gene named spindle and kinetochore associated complex subunit 2, with no coding region annotated. The record is from RefSeq and is a predicted model, not a curated record. Lineage: Eukaryota; Metazoa; Chordata; Mammalia; Eulipotyphla; Erinaceidae. The transcript is spliced from 5 exons.